RNAcentral lists this ribosomal RNA (498 nucleotides) under uncultured Lachnospiraceae bacterium. Its description in RNAcentral is "bacterial SSU rRNA". It matches the Rfam family "Bacterial small subunit ribosomal RNA", at positions 10 to 507 of the family's 1533-position model. Lineage: Bacteria; Bacillati; Bacillota; Clostridia; Lachnospirales; Lachnospiraceae. The record is from RNAcentral.
AGUUUGAUCCUGGCUCAGGAUGAACGCUGGCGGCGUGCCUAACACAUGCAAGUCGAACGGGGCGCGCCGAUGGAAACUUUUCGGAGCGGAAAUUGGCGCUGCCUAGUGGCGGACGGGUGAGUAACGCGUGAGCAACCUGCCCUGCACUGGGGGACAACAGCUGGAAACGGCUGCUAAUACCGCAUAGGCGCACAGCCCCGCAUGGGGCGGUGUGGAAAGUAAUAUGGUGCAGGAUGGGCUCGCGUCUGAUUAGCUUGUUGGCGGGGUAACGGCCCACCAAGGCGACGAUCAGUAGCCGGCCUGAGAGGGUGGACGGCCACAUUGGGACUGAGACACGGCCCAGACUCCUACGGGAGGCAGCAGUGGGGGAUAUUGCACAAUGGGGGGAACCCUGAUGCAGCGACGCCGCGUGGGCGAUGGAGUACUUCGGUAUGUAAAGCCCUAUCAGCAGGGAAGAAAAUGACGGUACCUGACUAAGAAGCCCCGGCUAAAUACGUG